UCUCUCUAAUGGAAACAAAGC
Molecule: non-coding RNA, 21 nt
Filed under: Caenorhabditis elegans
Lineage: Eukaryota; Metazoa; Nematoda; Chromadorea; Rhabditida; Rhabditidae
Source: RNAcentral